Molecule: long non-coding RNA, 1059 nt
Organism: Oryza sativa Japonica Group (Japanese rice)
Lineage: Eukaryota; Viridiplantae; Streptophyta; Magnoliopsida; Poales; Poaceae
Source: RefSeq, a predicted model, not a curated record
CGAUGAAUCAAAGUUCAUUUAGACGUUGGUAUCAAUUUUUUAUUAAGAAAACUAACUAACAGAGUGUCGUCCAGGGCACGGGAUCCUUAAUGCGAAUGCUCUCACCACCUUAUUUUCCCCACACACAGAUGUGUCUACGCUUCCUCUUAUCUAUACCACACAUAUGACCUUCUCUCUCUCUCUUCUCUCAUUCUCGUUCCCUUCUUCUAUACGACGCCGCCAGUGCUAUGAAGCUCAAGCAUGGCUGGGCAGCUUAGGCAUGGCAACGUGUCCCUGAUCGGUCAACAAAGUAAGGCUCCGGUGAGGCGGCGAGGUCGAUGGUGAGGUGGAGCAGCUAAGCCGUGUGGCUAGUACAAGAUAUCAGGUCUAGUAUCUAUGGGUGGUAUGGUGCUUGUGGGCAUCAGAUCCACCCUAGUACUAGGUCUGGUGCAUAGGUAUCCAGCAAUAGUUCUCGUGCCUCAUCGGUGAUGGGCAGAGAAGUGGCUGCCGCAUGCAUCCACUAACCCGAAGCACACGGCUGAGGAACGAUGUCGAUGCAUCAGGGGUUGUGGACAUAGAGAGGGAGGCACAUGGCGGAGACGACAAUGAGUGUGUGGUGGUGGUGGCUGCCGCACGAUGGUGAUGGCCACCCUAGCAAUGCACACGGAUAUUGGGCGGCUGAAUCUCCAACAUGUCACGAGCCUACACAAAAUUUCAUCCGAAUACCCUGUGAUUAUUGACGAUUAUCAGGCAGGUUCUAUUCAGAACAUGAUCCAUUGUCACAGAGUGAAGCCGAAGUUCCGAAGAUGAGUGUGAAACAGUGAAAGGCUGGAAGAUUUUGUAAAGGGAGUGUUCGGCUUGAAGGAAAAAGUUCAAGGGCUCACAUAUGAAGGUGGUGUUUAGAUCCAGGGGUGUAAAGUUUUGGCGUGCCACAUCGGGUAUUAUAUAUACUAUCGUAUAGGGUGUUCGGGUAUUAAUAAAAAAACUAAUUACAGAAUCCGUUAGUAAACUGCGAGAUGAAUUUAUUAAGCCUAAUUAAUCUAUCAUUAGCAAAUAUUUACUGUAGCACCACAUUGUCAA